UAUGUGUUGUUGGGUAGGGGAGCGUUCUGUAAGCCGUUGAAGGUGUGCUGUGAGGCAUGCUGGAGGUAUCAGAAGUGCGAAUGCUGACAUAAGUAACGAUAAAGCGGGUGAAAAGCCCGCUCGCCGGAAGACCAAGGGUUCCUGUCCAACGUUAAUCGGGGCAGGGUGAGUCGACCCCUAAGGCGAGGCCGAAAGGCGUAGUCGAUGGGAAACAGGUUAAUAUUCCUGUACUUGGUGUUACUGCGAAGGGGGGACGGAGAAGGCUAUGUCAGCCGGGCGACGGUUGUCCCGGUUUAAGCAUGUAGGCGGAGGUUCCAGGUAAAUCCGGUACCUUUUAACGCUGAGGUGUGAUGACGAGGCACUACGGUGCUGAAGUGAUAAAUGCCCUGCUUCCAGGAAAAGCCUCUAAGCAUCAGGUAACACGAAAUCGUACCCCAAACCGACACAGGUGGUCAGGUAGAGAAUACCAAGGCGCUUGAGAGAACUCGGGUGAAGGAACUAGGCAAAAUGGUGCCGUAACUUCGGGAGAAGGCACGCUGAUAGGUAGGUGAAG
RNAcentral lists this ribosomal RNA (553 nucleotides) under Enterobacter hormaechei. RNAcentral describes it as "partial 23S ribosomal RNA". It matches the Rfam family "Bacterial large subunit ribosomal RNA", at positions 1215 to 1767 of the family's 2925-position model. The record is from RNAcentral. Lineage: Bacteria; Pseudomonadati; Pseudomonadota; Gammaproteobacteria; Enterobacterales; Enterobacteriaceae.